AUUGAACGCUGGCGGCAGGCCUAACACAUGCAAGUCGAACGAGGGGCGGACGGGUGAGUAAUGUCUGGGAAACUGCCUGAUGGAGGGGGAUAACUACUGGAAACGGUAGCUAAUACCGCAUACCCUCAGAUGCGCCCAGAUGGGAGUAGCUAGGUGUUGGGGUAUCGGUUCACCAAGGCGACGAUCCCUCGCUGGUCUGAGAGGAUGACCAGCCACACUGCAACUGAGCCACGGUCCAGGCUCCUACGGGAGGCAGCGGUGGGGAAGAUUGCACAAUGGGCGCAAGCCUGAUGCAGCCAUGCCGCGUGUGUGAUGAAGGCCUUCGGGUUGUAAAGUACUUUCAGCGGGGAGGCGUUACCCGCUGAGGAAGCACCGGCUAACUCCGUGCCAGCAGCCGCGGUAAUAC
Molecule: ribosomal RNA, 406 nt
Filed under: uncultured bacterium
Lineage: Bacteria
Description: partial 16S ribosomal RNA
Rfam family: Bacterial small subunit ribosomal RNA
Source: RNAcentral